AUAAGUAAUGUGAAUUGCAGAAUUCAGUGAAUCAUCGAAUCUUUGAACGCACCUUGCGCUCCUUGGUAUUCCGAGGAGCAUGCCUGUUUGAGUGUCAUGG
This 100-nucleotide ribosomal RNA is filed under the name Trametes versicolor. Its description in RNAcentral is "partial 5.8S ribosomal RNA". It matches the Rfam family "5.8S ribosomal RNA", at positions 58 to 154 of the family's 154-position model. Rfam says of the family: 5.8S ribosomal RNA (5.8S rRNA) is a component of the large subunit of the eukaryotic ribosome. It is transcribed by RNA polymerase I as part of the 45S precursor that also contains 18S and 28S rRNA. Lineage: Eukaryota; Fungi; Basidiomycota; Agaricomycetes; Polyporales; Polyporaceae. The record is from RNAcentral.